UAGAUACCCCACUAUGCUCAGCCCUAAACUUUGAUAGUCUAACACACUCACUAUCCGCCUGGGUACUACGAGCUUUAGCUUAAAACCCAAAGGACUUGGCGGUGCUUAAGAUCCACCUAGAGGAGCCUGUUCUAUAACCGAUACCCCCCGUUUAACCUCACUCUUUCUUGUUCAUUCCGCCUAUAUACCGCCGUCGUCAGCUCACCCUGUGAAGGCCCUGUAGUAAGCAAAAUUGGCACGACCCAAAACGCCAGGUCGAGGUGUAGCGUAUGAAAGAGGAAGAAAUGGGCUACAUUUCCUAAACAGGAAACACGGACAAUAAACUAAAAUAUGUAUUAGAAGGAGGAUUUAGCAGUAAAUGAGAAACAGAGAGUCUCAUUGAAAUCGGCCCUAAAGCGCGCACACACCGCCCG
RNAcentral lists this ribosomal RNA (413 nucleotides) under Mugil cephalus (flathead mullet). RNAcentral's name for it is "partial 12S ribosomal RNA". It matches the Rfam family "Bacterial small subunit ribosomal RNA", at positions 779 to 1396 of the family's 1533-position model. Lineage: Eukaryota; Metazoa; Chordata; Actinopteri; Mugiliformes; Mugilidae. The record is from RNAcentral.